Acinonyx jubatus (cheetah) is the source of this 1725-nucleotide long non-coding RNA. RefSeq lists it as uncharacterized. The transcript is spliced from 3 exons. Lineage: Eukaryota; Metazoa; Chordata; Mammalia; Carnivora; Felidae. The record is from RefSeq and is a predicted model, not a curated record.
GGUUAGCUCAUCACGCCUUGUGUGAAUUGUUCUCUUGUUAUGUUCUGGGGAGUAGCGAGUCUGGAAAUGAUAUCGGUGGGCAAGAAACGCCAAUGCCAACAGCGGUCAUCAUGCUGAUGACGACGGCGGUGACGCCAGCUAUAUUUAUCGCACGCCCACUAGGUUCCGGCCACCCUGAAGUAUUACACAUACACCAACAUUUAGUUCCGACAACAGCCCGGGAAAGGAAAACGAUUAUUAUGCCUGUUUUUCAGGGUCAGGCUGGAGCCGGUGUUAUUGUUGUUAAAUUUAGAUCGGGAACUAUAUUGGGCCCGACCUGCUGUCCACAAGCUUUCACUUCUUAAAACAGGAAGGAAGGCCCCAGCUGGGGAGUUUCAGAGCGCCAAGAAGCUUCUCCGGAGACCUCAGGGAAAUGCGUUUAGCUGGAAACCACUGGAGGUGCGUGGGAGGGACCGGAUUCAGGGAGCGUCUUCGCGUGGUGGCUGAGUUGAAAGAUUUUUCCCGACCUUCUGGAUACCCCGGUGGCUUUCUUGCUGUGUCUCCGACGCACCGGACACACUCCUGCCUCCGUGCUUCUCUUUUCUAGAAACCGUCUUCCCGUUGAGAUGUCCGCACGACCUACUUCCUUAUCGUCUUCGCUCAAAUGACCACUUGGGUCGUAAUCGGCCUUCUCCGGCUCUGUCUCCAAGAUCGCAUCCCUCCCCUGCCUGCAGCACGGUCUGCCCCCCUCUGAGUUUUCCGGGUGGCAUUCACUGGCAUUCGAAUACAUCUGGCCUACCGUACCGUUCAUCAGUUCAUCUUGCUACUUGCUCUCCCCCCACGCCCAUCCCCCGCCCGCUACUAGACCGUGAACUGCUGAGGGCAGAAAUUUGGAUGGUCAGCUUUACGCCGUGUUCCCCAGUACGCGACGCAUAGCAAGCUUACAGCAAAUGUGCGUGGGAUGAAUUCCUGAGUGAAUGCAGACCGAAGGCAUCCAGGCAAGGAAGGACGUGUCUGCUUCUCCCGUUGGUUUUGCCAUAGGUAGCUCCUAGAAAGUUCUUGGUCCCCCUCCAGUUGGAGAAGCUAAGGGCUCAGAGAGGCAGACACUCUUCUGAAGGUCACACGGCUGACGACAGCAGGCACGUAGACAGCACCCGCUACCUGCCGAGGACAGUGCUAGACCUUUCAGUGUUUCGGAGGCGUGUGUUAGUUUCCGGGGGCUGCAGUUAACAAGGGCGUGGGGCGCCCGGGGGGGCUCAGUCGGUUAAGCGUCCAACUCUCGACCUCGGCGCAGGUCGUGAUCUCACGGUCCGUGAGUUGGAGCCCCUCGUCGGGCUCUGCGCUGAAAGCACAGAGCCUGCUUGGGAGUCUGUCUCUUCCUCUCUCUGCCCCUUCCCUGCUCGCUCUCUGUCCUUCUCUCUCAAAAUAAAUUAAAAAAAAAAAAAAAACUUUGAAAAAUUUGCUAUAAACUCGUGGCGUAGAUGACAGAAAUUUAUUCUCUCACGGUUCUGGAGGUGAGAAGCCCAAGAUCGAGGUGUCUGUGGGGCCGUGUUCUCUUUGAGGGCGCUGGGGAAGAACCUUCUCCAGGCUUCUUUCUUUAGCUUCUGCUUCCGUCCUGCCCGUGUGCGUAUCCGUGUCCAAAUUUCCCCUUUCUAUAGGGAUGCCUCUCAUAUUGGACUGGGGGCCUGAUUACCCCAAUGUGACCUCAUCGUAACGAAUUAUAUCUGCAACAACCCUGUUCCCAAA